AACGAACGCUGGCGGCAGGCCUAACACAUGCAAGUCGAACGGGCGUAGCAAUACGUUAGUGGCGCACGGGAGAGUAACGCGUGGGAAUCUACCUUUUGGUUCGGGAUAACGUCGGGAAACUGACGCUAAUACCGGAUAAGCCCUACGGGGGAAAGUUUUUUCGCCAUUAGAUGAGCCCGCGUUAGAUUAGCUAGUUGGUGAGGUAAUGGCUCACCAAGGCUACGAUCUAUAGCUGGUCUGAGAGGAUGACCAGCCUCACUGGGACUGAGACACGGCCCAGACUCCUACGGGAGGCAGCAGUGGGGAAUAUUGGACAAUGGGGGAAACCCUGAUCCAGCCAUGCCGCGUGAAUGAUGAAGGCCUUCGGGUUGUAAAGUUCUUUUGGUGGGGACGAUAAUGACGGUACCCACAGAAUAAGCUCCGGCUAACUUCGUGCCAGCCGCCGCCGUAA
RNAcentral lists this ribosomal RNA (451 nucleotides) under uncultured bacterium. RNAcentral describes it as "partial 16S ribosomal RNA". It matches the Rfam family "Bacterial small subunit ribosomal RNA", at positions 29 to 523 of the family's 1533-position model. The record is from RNAcentral.